This is a long non-coding RNA of Homo sapiens (human), 303 nucleotides long. RefSeq lists it as uncharacterized. The record is from RefSeq and is a predicted model, not a curated record. Lineage: Eukaryota; Metazoa; Chordata; Mammalia; Primates; Hominidae. The transcript is spliced from 3 exons.
GUUUGUGGAGGCUGUGGAAAAAUUUUGCUGGAAAUGAGGACAUUGGGCAGGCCAGUCUUUGGUUCCCUGGUAGGCACAUGCAGAAAGGACGUGAAAAUGAAAAUACUUGAGUGGCCUGAGAUUUGCCUAGGGAAUCAUCUUAGAAGCAAAGAAGGAAAAGAACAUCACGGAAAUUCCCGCAGGCAUAAUUCCAUGGACAGAACUAGACAACGUAUUCUCUAGCAGUUUUGAAACCAAGAUCAGCUCGUCCCAUGCUCAGGAAUGACCAAGGGCAGUUUGGAGGUUAAAGGCACGAUGGAGUUG